CCUACGGGAGGCAGCAGUGGGGAAUUUUGGACAAUGGGCGAAAGCCUGAUCCAGCCAUGCCGCGUGAGUGAAGAAGGCCUUCGGGUUGUAAAGCUCUUUCGGGAGAGUUGCGGUACCCAAAGAAGAAGCACCGGCUAACUACGUGCCAGCAGCCGCGGUAAUACGUAGGGUGCAGGCGUUAAUCGGAAUUACUGGGCGUAAAGCGUGCGCAGGCGGUUUGUUAAGACAGAUGUGAAAUCCCCGGGCUUAACCUGGGAACUGCGUUUGUUACUGGCAAGCUAGAGUGUGGCAGAGGGGGGUGGAAUUCCAAGUGUAGCAGUGAAAUGCGUAGAUAUUUGGAGGAACACCGAUGGCGAAGGCAGCCCCCUGGGCUAAACUGACGCUCAUGCACGAAAGCGUGGGGAGCAAACAGGAUUAGAUACCCGAGUAGUC
RNAcentral lists this ribosomal RNA (432 nucleotides) under uncultured bacterium. RNAcentral describes it as "partial 16S ribosomal RNA". It matches the Rfam family "Bacterial small subunit ribosomal RNA", at positions 338 to 795 of the family's 1533-position model. The record is from RNAcentral.